CAGUCGCCGCGGUAAUACGAAGGGGGCUAGCGUUGCUCGGAUUUACUGGGCGUAAAGGGCGCGUAGGCGGACAGUUAAGUCGGGGGUGAAAGCCCGGGGCUCAACCUCGGAAUUGCCUUCGAAACUGGCUGUCUUGAGUACGGGAGAGGUGAGUGGAACUCCGAGUGUAGAGGUGAAAUUCGUAGAUAUUCGGAAGAACACCAGUGGCGAAGGCGACUCACUGGCCCGUUACUGACGCUGAGGCGCGAAAGCGUGGGGAGCAAACAGGAUUAGAUACCCCCGUAGUCCCUGUCUCUUAUAC
RNAcentral lists this ribosomal RNA (301 nucleotides) under uncultured bacterium. RNAcentral's name for it is "partial 16S ribosomal RNA". It matches the Rfam family "Bacterial small subunit ribosomal RNA", at positions 509 to 807 of the family's 1533-position model. The record is from RNAcentral.